This 2675-nucleotide long non-coding RNA is filed under the name Numida meleagris (helmeted guineafowl). RNAcentral's name for it is "lncRNA (ENSNMEG00000013472.1)". Lineage: Eukaryota; Metazoa; Chordata; Aves; Galliformes; Numididae. The record is from RNAcentral.
GUCAGCUUGUGCUGCAAGAGGAUGGUAUUGCAGUAUGAAUGAAGGUCAGCAUAGGAGCAGCUGCUGAUGGGAGGAAGGAAGUCCAGGCUAAUGAACUCUAAAGCAUCUCCCAGUUAGGUACCAGAGGAGGCAGGAAUGAUGAUGUAGAAGGAUAUGAGAAGCUCCCCAGCUUGAAGCCACAAAACCUGCAGAAACCUGCAGGAGAGCCGGAGCACGUGUCAAUGCCCAGGAGGAAAUCCAGCCUCAGUGUUUGAGCAGCACCUGGCCGUGGAGCACUGCGGCCCAAGAACAGAAUUAUUCUGCCUUUGCCAAGCUGGCAUCCCAAGAAGGACUUGUCUGUCCUUGUAAAAACCAGAGGGCUGGCUCAUCCAAAUGCUUGCUGAUUGCUUGGGAGCUCAAAUCUUUCUGGCCUCCAAGCUGGAGGCAGCCUGGAGGCAACAUCUCCUUGGUCUGAUUGUGCAGUGUCUGAGCGAGAGGGUGACCCAACCUGGCUGCACAAGAGUCAUCUUCAUUUCUGUUAUUUUGCUUCAAACAAGCCCCCUGGGUGACCCUGGUGUUGGUUUCCUAAAAUUUGCAUCUGGGAGGCGUCCAUUUCCUUUGCUUGUGAUGAAAGCACAGAAGUGAUGGGGGCACUCGCCAAGGUCACAAUCAUUGCCAGGGUGGGAGUGUUUGUCCCACAGCUGGUGAGCAAAGCUGGUGCUCUGGAGAGCGUGCUGCACACACAGACCGAGCUCUGGGCCUUCCUUGGAAGAGAUCACCCCGUGAGAGCCCGUCAGAAGCACCGCUGUGGUGUGUACAUGACCUGGACGCAGCUUAGACUGACCAGGCUGAACAGGGUUUCUUUCCAAAAGGAGAUUUUGGGAAUCAAGGCAGUCCAAGAAAGAGGGAAGCCAGCUCUUUCCAAGAGUGGGGAAGUCCCUGUGGAGAGAACCCCAAGAACUUGAGCUUCCUCUGAGACAUUCCCCACCAUGUCUCAGCAAGGAGACAACCGCUAUUCUGACUUCUGCUCUCCAUGUGGGAAGAAGAAGCGCAGUGCGAUUCCCUGCAUUUGGGAACAGCAGCCAGCAGGCUGUCAGAAUGCCAGCUGCGCCUUUCAGCGUGCAAAGGGACGCGAUGGGGAUGGACCAUCUUUACCGCCACGCAAAAGGAUGGAGUCUGCAUGUCUGUGGAACGGUGCUGGGCAAGGGGGAAAACGGAAAGCCUCUGCAGAAACUGAUGCAAGUGGCCUUCCAGAGAGGUGCAGCCUUGCAGAAAGGCAGGGGAGGAGCACGGAGUGUGCCGUAGCUCCAAAGAGAGAGAGAGGUGCUGAACCAAAUGGCAAAAUCUAUGUGAAAACGGUGGAAGAAGUCUGUUCUGGGGGAGCUCGUCUCCAGGUUGGAGGGCUUCCUGGAAGAGCAGGUCCCAGCUCAGGGAGAAGACCUUCCCCUGCAGUCGACAUCUACUCUUUCUCCAAGACUCUGGCUGGAAGGAAGCGCAAGGGCUUGGAAAAAGAGGAACAAAAAGCAGAGCUGUUGCCUGCCAAGAAACAAGUAAAGGGGGGGCGCAGUGGGGAGAAGGCUCAGAGGGUGCAUCAGAGCAGAGGCGGUGUGCCAGCUCCACCAGCGCACCCUGGGCCUGCCCGAACGCCAAGUAAGCAGUUACAGACCUCAAAGCUAAGAGCAAGAAGAAGACGACAACAAAAAGAGAGGAGAGCAGAAAUGAAGAAGGCUUCUCUCAGAGCUGCUGCUGCAUGUGCAGAGAGUGAGUAGCUGUCUGGGACAUGGUAGCCUCCUGUGUGCAACAACAGCUCCUGCUGUGCAAGGUGGGUCAGCAUCCACCUCCCGUUUGUCUGUUUGGAGGGGUGGAGUCCCUAUGAAGUACCAAUGGGCCUCCCACAGGUGCAGUACCACUUGUGGCAGGCAGUGUUGUAUCUCAGGGCUGAUCCUGGUUGCUGGAAGCCUCUGGAUUCCUUGAGGCAGCUUCUGCCCGGACUGUUGUGCUGCGUCUGGAGGGCAGUGGGAGGGAGAGGGUUGGGCAGCUCCUUCCUAAAUCUCUCCCAUAUGCCCUGGUCUGCACCUCUGAACAGUGGCAGAGGACACGGCAAGACCCAAAGCACAGUUCCUGCACAGGGCAACCUCCAGUCCCUCCCCCAGCAUUAACCCUUUGGCCCUUCCAUUCUCUUCCACUUGCAGGGGGUCUGAAUUCCCACCUUUGGUUCCUUUGACAUCUUCUCCAAACGGAUGAAGGCUGGGGACAGGACUCUGAUUGUGCAGCGGCCUGUGUUUCACCUGGCCAGGAACCUUGUCAGCAUCCACAGUCUGACAGAUGAUGAGGAAUUUCUGCCAGGUAGGAGGGGAAUUAAACACCUGCUGGCUGCACAGACAGGGCAAACAGGACGAUUGACUCCAUUGUCAAAAGCAAACUGCCCCCUCCGUGGAGCCAGUCCAAAUACAGUGCCAUCCUGGGUGGCAAAUGCAAUGAGUAGCACUCAGAAGCAUGGGCAGAAGGGCUGUUAUAUAUAUGACUGACUCCAACUCACUGAUGUGAUUUUCCAGGCCAUAAGGAGGCGGAGCCCCUCAAGUACGCCGAGGUGGCCACGGCUGCGUCUUUGUGCCGACAGAGAGGGGAGGCCUGCAUAUAUGGCACCACAUCUCUCAUCUCCUGCUGCCUGAGGAAGGGGGAGAAUGUUGCCUUUG